Molecule: long non-coding RNA, 739 nt
Organism: Pipra filicauda (Wire-tailed manakin)
Lineage: Eukaryota; Metazoa; Chordata; Aves; Passeriformes; Pipridae
Exons: 3
Source: RefSeq, a predicted model, not a curated record
AAGCAGUAAAGCUUCUUGCUGCUUGCAGUCCUCUGAAAUCCUACAAGACUGGCACUGUGAGGAUUGUGUUUUCCACCUCCUAGCCUGCUUCCCUGGAUCCAUUCAUGUCAAAUAACCUCCAGUCUGGAGAUGUAUUUCUCCUGCCUCAGUUCUCUCUGCAUUGGGCAGGAGUACUUCAUCCCCUUUGGAAAGCCCUGCUCAAGAGAGAUGCCGAAUGUGCUGGCUGUGUUUCCCGUUUUGUGGCUUCCUCCACCUGAUCCCGCUCGUUAGGCCUGUUGACUGAAGCUGAAGUGCUGUGCGUGGAAGUGGGUUGAGAAGGAGCCUUUGCCAGUUCUCCGACGUGUCUUUUAAAUUACACAGACUGAUUCUGACGGUCCCUGGGAUGUGUCGAAAAAUGUGCUGCUUCCUGCUGCAUUCGGCAAUAGAUUGGACGCGCGUGCUGUGUUAGUACGGAGCGGCAAAGGGGCCUUGCCAGCAGCAGAAGAGCAGAAGGAAGACAAUGACUCCCCCUGGGAUACUAAGACUGAUUCCAAAGGUCAAGGGAAAGUGUCGACCAACUUGACACUUCGUGCUGCAGUGGGCAAGAGUUUGGAUGCGCACUCUGUUGCAGUGGAGCAUGGCAAAGGUAAUUUCAGAGGGACUAAAUGGUUACCUUUGUAAAGUUCUCUGGGGUGACAUGGCUGGGGAGAAAGCAGAGUGAAAUAAGCCCUCAGAGUAAUGACAUGCCUCUUACGUCUUU